Molecule: ribosomal RNA, 446 nt
Filed under: uncultured bacterium
Lineage: Bacteria
Description: partial 16S ribosomal RNA
Rfam family: Bacterial small subunit ribosomal RNA
Source: RNAcentral
CCUACGGGAGGCAGCAGUCGAGAAUCAUUCACAAUGGGGGAAACCCUGAUGGUGCGACGCCGCGUGGGGGAAUGAAGGUCUUCGGAUUGUAAACCCCUGUCAUGUGGGAGCAAAUUAAAAAGAUAGUACCACAAGAGGAAGAGACGGCUAACUCUGUGCCAGCAGCCGCGGGAAUACAGCGGUUUCAAGCGUUGUUCGGAAUCACUGGGCGUAAAGCGUGCGUAGGCUGUUUCGUAAGUCGUGUGUGAAAGGCGCGGGCUCAACCCGCGGACGGCACAUGAUACUGCGAGACUAGAGUAAUGGAGGGGGAACCGGAAUUCUCGGUGUAGCAGUGAAAUGCGUAGAUAUCGAGAGGAACACUCGUGGCGAAGGCGGGUUCCUGGACAUUAACUGACGCUGAGGCACGAAGGCCAGGGGAGCGAAAGGGAUUAGAUACCCGAGUAGUC